GCCAGCAGCCGCGGUAAUACGUAGGUGGCAAGCGUUGUCCGGAAUUAUUGGGCGUAAAGCGCGCGCAGGUGGUUCUUUAAGUCUGAUGUGAAAGCCCACGGCUCAACCGUGGAAGGUCAUUGGAAACUGGGGAACUUGAGUGCAGAAGAGGAAAGUGGAAUUCCAAGUGUAGCGGUGAAAUGCGUAGAUAUUUGGAGGAACACCAGUGGCGAAGGCGACUUUCUGGUCUGUAACUGACACUGAGGCGCGAAAGCGUGGGGAGCAAACAGGAUUAGAUACCCUGGUAGUCCACGCCGUAAACGAUGAGUGCUAAGUGUUAAAGGGUUUCCGCCCUUUAAUGCUGGCACCAACGCAUUAAGCACUCCGCCUGGGGAAGACGGGCGCAAGAAUGAAACUCCAAGGAAUUGACGGGGGCC
Molecule: ribosomal RNA, 416 nt
Filed under: uncultured bacterium
Lineage: Bacteria
Description: bacterial SSU rRNA
Rfam family: Bacterial small subunit ribosomal RNA
Source: RNAcentral